This is a non-coding RNA of Zonotrichia albicollis (white-throated sparrow), 879 nucleotides long. Lineage: Eukaryota; Metazoa; Chordata; Aves; Passeriformes; Passerellidae. The record is from RefSeq and is a predicted model, not a curated record.
UGGCACUGCUGUGAGCCCCAGGUUUGGUCACUGUCACUCCGAGGUGACAGCACAGCACCAGCAGAGCCCUCAGGGGCAGUUCCCAAGGGAUUUGCCCAGAAUUGCCCUUUCCUGCCCCAAGUGCAGCCGAGCCCAAGCAGAGCUCUGCAGAUUUGGGAUUUAAAAGCUUUCCUGGUUUGGUUUGGAUGUCACCUCCUGCCCUGGUGGGGCAGUGACAAACUCACCCUGCCCCUCUGGAGCAGCACAGAGCCAGCUCCAUGGUGACUUUGUGUUCUGUUCUCUCCUCCCCAGGAACCCGAGAGCUGUGGGCACAGAUGAGAUGAGACCCAGGCCAAGGCAAGUGUGACAAAAUCAGAUUUCCCCUGUGCUGAGCCAUUCCCCAGUCUGGAUUUCCCUGGCCAGAAAACAAGGAAUCCCAAACUGGCAGCUGGCUGAGCUGAUGAAGAAAGCAGCACGUUCUUGACCCAAAUCAGGGAGAAAGCUUGGAUAUAAAGUUGGGAUAGAGCUGACCCACCUGGGAUAAAGCUGGGAUAGAGCUGACCCACCUGGGAUAAAGCUGAGAUAAAGCUGACCCACCUGGGAUAGAGCUGGGAUAAAACUGACCCACCUGGGAUAGAGCUGAGAUAAAACUGACCCACCUGGGAUAAAGCUGAGAUAAAGCUGACCCACCUGGGAUGAAGCUGGGAUAAAACUGACCCACCUGGGAUAAAGCUGGGAUAGACCUGACCCACCUGGGAUAAAGCUGAGAUAAAACUGACCCACCUGGGAUAGAGCUGGGAUAGAGCUGACCCACCUGGGAUAAAACUGACCCACCUGGGAUAAAGCUGACCCACCUGGGAUAAAGCUGGGAUAGAGCUGACCCACCUGGGAUAAAACUGA